GACGAAAGAAGGAUGGGCUGAAGAAGGGAUGGUGGUGGAAGCCGGUGGGAACUAGGGGAAGAUAGGUGAAGAAAGCGGAUGGGAUAGGGCCCUAGGGAAAACGUGAAAGCCAGAGGGUUAACCUCUGAAAGGCAGUAGUGGGUGGGGGUGGGGAGAAGAGGGCGUACUUAGCGCAUGCGCCAGAAGUACACUGCGGCGAUCCAGGAGAGGCAGUUCUUAACUGGCAUCAGCGCUGCGGCUGGAGGCGCGGCUGGUUCUCUGCCCGCUGUCCAGUUCCACCUUGGCUUGUGCAACCACCCUGGAUCUGCGAACUCUGUGCAGCUGCUCUGUCCACCAUAUCUUGCGGCGGCGAGCGCUAAGAAUUCAUGCUACGACACUCGAUUCAGCCAGGAGGUGACACCAAAUGUGAUCAGAAGCCAUGCCCAUGGUGAAGAGAUAUACUGAACCCGGCCUGGCCCAGUGAGGUUACUAGAGAAUUGGGAAAGGCUUAAAUAAGUAUCCUGCACAUGGUUAUCAAAUCAUUGUAAAGUCUUGGUAAGUGGUUAGCGGCUUUAGUAGGCUAGCCCAGUUACUGGGAAGGGACAGGGAAGGUAGUCUUAAUAGAUAUUAGGCAAUUACUUGGUAUUUUCCCCAUCAUGGUAUGAAUAAAAAGCAUCUUAAAAUAUUCGGACUACACAGAAAGCAGUGAGCCUAACCUUUCAUUUUUUAAGUUUCUUUUUUAAAUUUUUUUGAGAGAGAACAUGAGCAUGAGUUGGAGAGGGGCAGAGAGAGAGGGAGAGAGAAUCCCAAGCAAGCUCAAAGUCCAGUGUGGGGCUCGAACUCACGAACCCUGAGAUCAUGACCUGAACCAAAAUCAAGAGAUGCUUAACUGACUGAGCCACCCAGGUGCCCCCAACCUUUCAUUUUUUCAUCCUCUCAUUUUGUAUAUCUUGCCCAAGAUUAUAGCUAGUUAGUGUAGGAAAUGGAUUUGAAUUUAAGCCAGUACUGUGUCUUUUUACCCAGUGCUUCCUCUAGGUUCCAUCUAAGUGUAAGGAGGCCAUAUGAGAGAGAAAUGUCUUUAUUUCACACUGAAAUUUUUUCUUAAGUUUAUUUAUUUAUUUUGAGAGAGACAGAGACAUUGCAAGUCGGGGAGAGGCAGAAAGAGGGGGAGAGAGAGGAUCCCAAGCAGCCUGUAUUCUGCCAGCACAGAGCCCGACGCAGAGCUCAAACUCACAAAACUGUAGGAUCGUGACCUGAGCCAAAAUCAAGAGCCGGACAUUUAACCGACUGAGCUACCUUGGGUGCCCCUCACAUUGAAAGAUUUUUAUAAUAGCCUCUGAUAUUGUUCUUUCCCAAUGAAGGAAAUUUUCAUGGUGUAAAUUUUUUUUAUGCAGAAAAUCAUCUGGAAUGCUUGUUAAAAAUGCAGAUUUCUGGGCAGCCAGAAACCUUGCACUAGUCAAGAGCAACACUAAGACCCACCUGUCAUUUAUAUUGAGGCUUCCUGCCCGGUGGGUUCAUCAGCAAGCCAGAAUGAAUCACCAUUGCUGUGUGUGGAUCCUUGUGAGGCAGCUGGGAAGUCUUGGUAAGCUGCCAGUGGUUUGGGUGGGGUUCCCCCAUUGGUAGUAGAGAAGAGACGGUUGUGAUGGACACUUCCCCCGCUUCCUUAAACAGACAGUUACUAAGUGCUUACUAGUUGCCAGAGACUAUUCUAGAUAUUAACAAAGUUCAGCCAUCUUGGAACUUUCAUUCUUAUGAGAGUAGACAGAGGAACAAAGAACCAGGGAAAGCAUAAAGUAUCAUACAUGUUACAUCAGAAGUUUUCCAUUAUGGUAUGAAAAUUGUGUUAAAAAUGGGUGGGUUAGGCUAAGCAACACCUUGUGUAUUUUCCCCACUUCCCAUUCUUCCUUUUAAUACCUGCCCCUGUCUUUCAGUGCAGUGGAGGCUGACCAAGCUGAGUAUGAGAGGGUUAUAGGUGAUGAAAGCAAUCUUUUUCCUUUUUGUUACCCUCACUAGGCUAAAUUGUGAAGGAUGUCUUUUGAAAAGUGUUCUAGAGAGUCUACUGGUUUUCCCACAUGAGUGAACGUGUAGCAGAAGAGAGGAUCCUCUCAGUGAUUAAGGUAAAUAGGGGAGGAAAGGAUGACUUUGCCCUAACUCCUAUCAGGGAGGCUCUUAGAAAUGUCAUUUCUGGGUGUCAAUACUUUUACUUUCUUUUUAAAUUUUGUUUGUUUGUUUGUUUAUAUUCAAGUUAAUUAACAUACAGGGUAAUUACGAUUUCAGGAGUAGAACCCAGUGAUUCAUCUCUUGCAUAUGACACCCAAUGCUCAUCCCGAAAAAUGCCCUUCUUAAUGUCCAUCACCCAUGUAUAGCCCACACCCCCCCCAACCACAUCAAGCCUCAGUUUGUUCUCUGUAUUUAAGAGUCUCUUAUGGUUUGUCUCCCUCUCUGUUUUUAUCUUAUUUUUCCUUCUCUUCCCCUAUGUUCAUCUGUUCAGUUUCUGAAAUUCCACAUAUGAGUAAAAUUAUAUGAUAUGUCAUUCUCUGACUUGUCUUGCUUAGCAUAAUACCCUCCACUUCUAUCCAUGUUUUUGCAAAUGGCAAGAUUUCAUUCUUUUUCAUCGCCGAGUGGUAUUCCAUUUUACAUAUGUAUAUAUAUAUGGUAUAUAUAUAUAUAUCACAUGACUUUAAAGCCUGUAGUUUAUUCUGUAAUACAUUUUUCUUGAAACAAUUGGGGUAAAUUAUCUUGUUUACCCAGUCUGUAAUCACCCCUGCAGAGGAUCAGAACUAAAAUGGUUGCCAAGUAAACUAGGCAACAUAAGCUACAGUCACAAAUAAAGGCAGGACACUAAUUAUACUCCUCUUAAGGGGAGAGUGUCUUUUUAACCAGACUUGUUGAGAGUUUUUAUCAGACAGUGGAGCUACAUCUUGUCGAAAGUCAGCUCAUAGCAGAGGCUCCAUAUUUCAGCGGUAGCCAAGUUAGUAAUUUCAGAGAUAGCAGUGUCUUCUGGAUUGCACUUAAACCAAUUGGACUAGUGUUCAUUUUGGACUCCUAAGGGAUCAGCCCCCUGAUGGGAUCCAGGGAGCAUUUAAAUGGUCCAUAGUUAAGAGAAGAGAGGCACAAAAUCAGGUUCUUUGCUGACACUGGUCUAGUCUGGGGCCAAUAAAGCCCCUGUGUUUUGGACACCACUUUGAGUCUGAUACACCACUGAAAAGUGCUCUUCUGGCACCACCCUUGAACUCAUUACCUCAGAUGUCUGGAUCAGUGGGUCCAAAUCUUGGUAGACCACUUUCACUCACUUUGUCUGAACCUAAGAAUCUGCAAUCAUGGCACGGACAAGCCAACCCACAUGGAAUACCUACAACGCAGAAAGACUUUUGCCCUCAGUGGAGCACAGGCACCAGGUCCUCUCCUUUCAUUCAUUUUCCUCCUCCUUCCUAACACAGAGCUAGACACCCAGUAAAUAACCCCUUCACACGUGCAGCACAGCAGUUAACAAAGGCUUCAGUAAGAAAGUGCCUUUGUCAGAGUUGGCCUGCUGACCCCAGUGUUGGAGGAGAUUAUUGACACGACGUGACCACUGGUUGACCCUUGAGCUUGACCCAGGCAAAUGGAGGUUCCUCACUCUUUCCCUGUCCUUGGAGUGUACAGUUUCUGCACUAGGAACUGUUUCAAGGAUGGAGCCUUGAAAAGGUAAGGUGUGGUAUAGACCGUCUGGAUGGCACAUGUGACUGAACCACGUUAAGGCCUCUAUACCUACAAACCUUUAAGACUCUGGCAGAGGGGUACAGACAUCUGCUAGUCUCUGGCUGCCCGAGACAAGCCUCAUAAGUUCCCUUGCUUAUUAAAACCACUGCCUACCAAUCUGGAGUGGUCUACCUCUUUCAGCAGUUUCCUUUGCCCCAUGCGUAUAUGGACCAGCUGGGAACCAACACUCAGACACUAGGGGAGGUCAGGUCUUUCUGCUGCAUCACUGGUAGGAGGGGCUGAGAACGGGCAGGAGUGACUGCCAUACAGCAGACUCAGGCUGCAGGCCAGCCUGGUGGGACCAGCUGGCCUAGGAGAGCCAGUCACACGGCUUGACCUGUGGCUGCCACCAUGAUCAGGGCCAUCCUGAGAGGUAGCUUUUGCCCUCAUGGACAGGGAAAGACCAGAAGGUCACAACCCAUCUCAUCAGAGAAAAGGGAGGCAGGGAAUGAAAACACAACACUGCUGGUAAGCAGAUCUCUGCCACAAACCUUGGCAGAGCACACACCUUUCUGAAGAGCCUGAGCCUGUACAAGCCAAGACAUAAACAAGUACAGAAUGUCCCCUUCAUCAUUUCACCUAUAGGUGGGGUAGGUAGUCUAAGGAGUUCACACAGGGAUCAGGGCAAAAAGUUGAUGGGGGAGGGGCGGUAAAUAAGGUUCCAGAAGGGUAAAAUAGGACUAGAAGAAUUCACCGUGACUGGUCAGUUCUCUGUCACCUUAUACCAUGAUCACAAUUCAAAUUUAAUCACUCAUUUUAUUUAUU
This 4485-nucleotide long non-coding RNA is filed under the name Lynx canadensis (Canada lynx). RNAcentral's name for it is "lncRNA (ENSLCNG00005019843.1)". Lineage: Eukaryota; Metazoa; Chordata; Mammalia; Carnivora; Felidae. The record is from RNAcentral.